This is a long non-coding RNA of Mustela lutreola (European mink), 889 nucleotides long. RefSeq lists it as uncharacterized. Lineage: Eukaryota; Metazoa; Chordata; Mammalia; Carnivora; Mustelidae. The record is from RefSeq and is a predicted model, not a curated record. The transcript has 3 exons.
CUGGCAGGCUGGAUGCUGGGGAUCUCAGCGGGGUGAGAUCAGACAGAGCGUUGGGAGACAGAGCAAGAGAGCUCGGGAGCUCGAGUCAAGAAGACCAAUAUGAGAGGUGGAGUGGGAAAUACAGAAGCAGAAGGCCCUGAAAGAAGCCCAGCCGAGUCCCACCCAGCCAAGAGUCUGUGGCAGCAGGACCGUCUGGAUCAGAGGAGACUCAGUUGACAUGCCUCUCAGGCCAGAGCCCUGAGCCAGCGGGUGCAGGAAGAGGCCCCAUCAGGAAUAGAAAAGCAUGGUCUUGUUCUCAGCAAGUAUGAGCAGUGUCCUCUCUGUCUCUCUCCUCACCAACCAGACUGGAAGUUCCUCGAGGACAGGGCCAGGCUUCGUUUGUACGGUAUGUCUGACCAGCUGCAAUGAGGACACUCUGCUGGUCAUAACCAACCCCUGUCACACCAAAAGAAGACUGGAACCCAUGUGGUUUGGGGAUAGGCAGCUCCUACAGUAUCCCAGAAGGUCCGAUUCACCUCUUCCACACUCUGCUGUGUGGCUGGGGUGAAAGCUUCCUGGACUCCUGCUCUUGCAUUUCUUCCCUGGUCCAGCAGAGCCAAGUGAUUGAGCAACAUGACCCUUGCCCAUAUGGACUCCAUAGACCUCCAUAGACCACUUAUUGCAACAGCUUUCAAAGGAACAUGGAACAGACACACGGCAUGUGGAUCUUUCCCCAGUAGACUACAAUGUCAAUAAUAAAGAGGAUAUUGGUUGUGGCAUUAGAAUUCAGCUUCCCAGAAGGCUGCCCUGAGCACAGUCCACAGUUGACUCAAUUUCAAUUUUAAUUUCCUGCACCUUUUAUAUCUCUAUGUUCCUUUUGUACACUCUGGAAUAAUAAAUCCCAAUCAAC